Long non-coding RNA from Alexandromys fortis (reed vole), 907 nucleotides. RefSeq lists it as uncharacterized. Lineage: Eukaryota; Metazoa; Chordata; Mammalia; Rodentia; Cricetidae. The transcript is spliced from 3 exons. The record is from RefSeq and is a predicted model, not a curated record.
AAGGAGGUUGAGCAUAACCUUAAGUGUCUUUUAGCCAUUUGAAUUUCUUCUGUUGAGAAUUCUCUGUUCAGAAACCUCUGGACUGACUUCCACAGUGGACGAACAAUUCUACAUUCCCACUAAGUAUACCUAAGGAUUCCCUUUCCAUACAUCAAUGUCUGUAUUUUUGUCAUUUGUUUGCUUGAUAAUAUCUAUUCUGACUGGGAUGAGGCAGAACCUCAAAGCACUUUUAUCUGCAUUCAUCUGAAAGAAAGUUGGAAAGGAGUAUGCCUCUGUCAUUGAAGAUGGAUCCACUGAAACAUUAUAGAUUCAUCUCUGGUUCCUCCCACCCCAGGCCAUCAAGGACUAUGGUGAAUGAUGAGGAGACAGUAGAAAUCACCAGAAUACCAGAAUAAUAGCAACCCUCCAGCUAAAGGGCAAAGGGAGAUAUAGGACAUAGACUAGGAGGUCAAGUCUUCCCACGGGGACUUUGUGCAUCAAGGGAAAGUUAUUCUAUGAAACAUACAGAACCCUACAUUCAGAACUCUGAGAAAAGACAUAUUCAGCAAUGAAACGAAGAUCUAUCUUGGUUCUCACUACAUGAACUGAUGUCUAUUAUCAACUGGGAGUCACUAAAAUCAUGAUUAAUCUGUUUCUUUUUGCUUCUAGUUAAAUCAGUGCACUAAAAAGGAUGAAAGGGAUUGUAGUGGUUAACCCUAUCAUCAAAUAUUGCAACCAUUCCAAACUGGUACUUUCAGCCGGGCAAUGGCGGUGCACACCUUUAAUCCCAGCACUCGGGAGGCAGAGGCAGGCGGAUCUCUGUGAGUUCGAGACCAGCCUGGUCUACAAGAGCUAGUUGUAGAACAGGCUCCAAAGCCACAGAGAAACCCUGUCUCGGAAAACCAAAAAAGAAAAAGAAAAAAGAAAA